This 420-nucleotide non-coding RNA is filed under the name Pan troglodytes (chimpanzee). Lineage: Eukaryota; Metazoa; Chordata; Mammalia; Primates; Hominidae. The record is from RNAcentral.
ACAAUGACUUCCAGCUGGAGCAGCCCAGCCAGCCUGCGCGCUCACUCGCUUGCUUGCGCUGGGCUUCAGGGCGCCCGGAAUUUGCACUUUUCGUCUGUUAAAACGCGGUCAUUCUUUUGCUUUCAAAUCGAACUUCACGACAGUUAGCAACUUCAAGAACGCUUCCAAAUGGAUAAAUCUUUCCAGAAGAUUUCUUGCUUCAAAACAGCUGCAUUUUUGGAAGAAAGUCCACAACUGACAACUAAGCAAAACCUUCCUGGUGGAUAGCAUAAAUCUGCUUUGUUGAAGCUGCUCAUUUGUCUGAUCUAUGAGUCCAGAAGAUGCAAACUCCCUUCCCAGCUUAUGCAAAAAUACUUCCAGUAAAAACAAGCCCUUUGGCCCUUUUCUUCUGUCAGUCCAGAUUUCAGCAUGUUCUUCGCU